Molecule: ribosomal RNA, 996 nt
Filed under: uncultured bacterium
Lineage: Bacteria
Description: bacterial SSU rRNA
Rfam family: Bacterial small subunit ribosomal RNA
Source: RNAcentral
GGGGAAUAUUGCACAAUGGGGGAAACCCUGAUGCAGCGACGCCGCGUGGAGGAAGAAGGUCUUCGGAUUGUAAACUCCUGUUGUUGGGGAAGAUAAUGACGGUACCCAACAAGGAAGUGACGGCUAACUACGUGCCAGCAGCCGCGGUAAAACGUAGGUCACAAGCGUUGUCCGGAAUUACUGGGUGUAAAGGGAGCGCAGGCGGGAAGACAAGUUGGAAGUGAAAUCUAUGGGCUCAACCCAUAAACUGCUUUCAAAACUUUUUUUCUUGAGUAGUGCAGAGGUAGGCGGAAUUCCCGGUGUAGCGGUGGAAUGCGUAGAUAUCGGGAGGAACACCAGUGGCGAAGGCGGCCUACUGGGCACCAACUGACGCUGAGGCUCGAAAGUGUGGGGUAGCAAACAGGAUUAGAUACCCUGGUAGUCCACACCGUAAACGAUGAUUACUAGGUGUUGGAGGAUUGACCCCUUCAGUGCCGCAGUUAACACAAUAAGUAAUCCACCUGGGGAGUACGACCGCAAGGUUGAAACUCAAAGGAAUUGACGGGGGCCCGCACAAGCAGUGGAGUAUGUGGUUUAAUUCGACGCAACGCGAAGAACCUUACCAAGUCUUGACAUCCCUUGACAGGCAUAGAAAUAUGUUUUCUCUUCGGAGCAAGGAGACAGGUGGUGCAUGGUUGUCGUCAGCUCGUGUCGUGAGAUGUUGGGUUAAGUCCCGCAACGAGCGCAACCCUUAUGGUCAGUUACUACGCAAGAGGACUCUGGCCAGACUGCCGUUGACAAAACGGAGGAAGGUGGGGAUGACGUCAAAUCAUCAUGCCCUUUAUGACUUGGGCUACACACGUACUACAAUGGCGUUAAACAAAGAGAAGCAAGACCGCGAGGUGGAGCAAAACUCAGAAACAACGUCCCAGUUCGGACUGCAGGCUGCAACUCGCCUGCACGAAGUCGGAAUUGCUAGUAAUCGUGGAUCAGCAUGCCACGGUGAAUACGUUCCCG